RNAcentral lists this ribosomal RNA (152 nucleotides) under Eustrongylides sp. 19 XF-2009. Its description in RNAcentral is "partial 18S ribosomal RNA". It matches the Rfam family "Eukaryotic small subunit ribosomal RNA", at positions 1689 to 1831 of the family's 1831-position model. The record is from RNAcentral. RNAcentral also lists the same sequence under 13 other names. Lineage: Eukaryota; Metazoa; Nematoda; Enoplea; Dioctophymatida; Dioctophymatidae.
UUGGAUGAUUCGGUGAGGUCUUCGGACCGGUGCUUCGUGUUGAUCCGUUGCGGAUUGGCUGUUGCGUUGGAAAGUUGGCCGAACCCAACCAUCUAGAGGAAGUAAAAGUCGUAACAAGGUUUCCGUAGGUGAACCUGCGGAAGGAUCAUUAC